This 6021-nucleotide long non-coding RNA is filed under the name Sarcophilus harrisii (Tasmanian devil). RNAcentral describes it as "lncRNA (ENSSHAG00000020617.1)". Lineage: Eukaryota; Metazoa; Chordata; Mammalia; Dasyuromorphia; Dasyuridae. The record is from RNAcentral.
UUUAAUGAUAAAUUUAAUGGAAAAAUAAGUUUAAAAUUAGUUGGUUUAGGCAUAUGCAAUUUAAAAAUCUAUUAAGUCUAUGAACACAUUUCAAAGUGGAUGCAUGUUUUGUGAUAUACAGGAAGAAAAUCUUUGGUAGUUAACAUUUGUAGUAGUUUCAUGCUAUGUUCUGGAAAAAAUGCAUAUGUCUCUUCCUCUCCCACCCAAAGAUAAAGAUAUUUUUUUAAACACAUCUAGGAAUUUUUUAUUUCUAAAUGGCUAUGUUAAAGGCAUUAAAUUAUAAUAACCUGUACCUCAAAAUAAUAGAACCUAAAUAGGAGAAUUUAAACAUCUAAAUGAUGUAUCUGGCUUUGGGGAAAAAAUCAUUUUAUGCAUUUUAAAGAAUAGCUAUCAUUUGUGAAGAAUCCUAUAUUUUAAGAGUAUUCAGGUUACCAGUUGGGACCUAGUUCCUAAUUCUCAUCUAUGUAUAGCAGCAUACUUUGACAUAUCUUUUAAUACAAGUGAUCUUUGAAUGAAAAUAUUGUUAGGCAGUCAGCCAUGUUAAUCUUAACUUUAUUAAAAAUAUACAAUAGAAUAAAAAUUAUGUUUCAUCAAAAGUAAGAGAUUAAACCUGUAAAUACACAAUGAUUUCCAAAAGGCCAUAAGAGAGAUUAUAAAUGUCUCACUGAGAGUUCCUCACACAGAUGAAAUCAGAAGUCUUGCCUUUGAAAAACAAAAUGAAAAAUUUUAAAUAAUCUUUUCAUAUUUUACAAAUGAUUUUAAAUGUUUGACUAAUCUUCAUUUUGUUCUGUUUUUUAAAAUAUAGUGAAAUUUUCUCCAAUUACUAGUUUACUAUCAAUGGAAUUCUUCACCAAUAUCAAGACUAAACCUUAAUGGAACUAUUUAAAAUCUAUACACCUUUUAUCCUGUUUCUUUGUGAAGCAGUCAGAAAUAGCCAAUAGAUACAUUAUCAUGAAAAUAUUCAGGACAAAAUAUUAUUUUGAGUAAAUAACGCAAAUAUCUAUUAGAAAAAGAAAGUCUUGGAAGCAAAUUUAUUCAAAAUGUGAUAAUACAUCUACCUGAUCUGGUUAUAAUAACUCAAUCAUUUGACUUUCUCAGCUACAUUGUUAAGAAUGUAAAAUAAAGCUAUGUUAUCUAGAACAUCCCUUCUAGCUCUUAACAGUCUAUGAAUGUGCCACAUUCAAAAUGGCAAAGAUUUUAUUUUGUGUAUAAAAUAAAUACUUUCUGGAGCUAUUCUGAAAAAAAGCAAAACCAAUGUUGAAAUAGACUGUGCUAUAUAUGCGCACAUACAUAUGUCAUGAUUUGUUUUUGUUUUCAUUUUUAAGUCCUUAUGCCACCAUAGAAUUACAAUAUUUUUUAAAGAUUCGAGAAAAAUGUCCUUGCAGAAAGCUUCAUACCCAUUUUCUCAAGUAUAAUUAGAAAAUACAUCUAAUAGUCUUUCCAAAUCUAAUCUAAAAGAAUUGUGAAUUCUUUUCAUUGUGAAUACUUAAUGGAGAAUUUGAUCAUGAGGAUAGUAAUUAUUUAGAACAUAAAAAUAGUAUAUAACUAAUGUCCCCUAAUUUGAAGACUAUUGGAAUUUACUUUUAAUAACUGUAUGAGUAUGUAAACAUAGAUUGUGUUUAACAUUAACAUAUUUAACAUAUAUGGGUUAUGCCAUCUAGGGGAGGGGCGGGGGGAAGGAGAGGAAAAAUUGGAACAGAAGGUUUUGCAAGGGUCAGUGCUGAAAAAUUACACAUGCAUAUAUCGUAUAAAUUAAAAGCUAUAAUAAAAAAUAAAAUUUAAAAAAAAGAAUUUAUUUUUAAGAUAAAUUUCUUUCUGUGGAGAAUAGUACAAUAGUCUUUACGUUCUGUUGCUGCUUUAUACACCCACCACAUAAAGAAUAAGUAAAUUUAUGAUGUUCAAAUUAAUCUGGAACUUUGAAAACGCUUCUAAAUUACUUGUUAAAUAAGUGGAUUUCCAUUUUAAUGGGCAUCUAAAAUGUGUGUGUCUAUGUGUCUGUGUGUAAGUAAAACACAGCUUCCUUUUAAGACCCAGUACACACUACUUUGAUUAUCCAUAAAUCUAGUUUCAGGCCAUAAAUCUAAUAAACAGUUUUGAAUGAAAUUCUAGUUGAGGCAUCAUCUCCUAAUAAUAUGGUCUUGAUAAUGUACCUUCAUCUUCAAUUUAACAUUUCUAAGUCUAACAAAAUGAAUAAUUACUGUGUGUUUCUAGAAUAACUCAAUGUGUUCUGUUUUAUUUUUAAAUGAACACUGAGAAAAUUGGGGUACAAUUUGUUUCAAAGGUGAAAGGUAGAGUUUAGUAGCAAGCCUUAUAAAGGCACAAAUUGUGAUAAAAUUUCCAGUUCACUAAUAGAAAAUCUUUGCCUUUGUUCAGAUUUUAAGUGUUUGCUGAUUUAAAGGUGAUUAGCAGUAUCCACUUUAUUUAAAAAAAAAAAAAAAAGUUUGUCUUUUAAAAGGGACAAAAGGUUACUCCCCAAAAUGUUUUCUUCAUUAACUCUUUCUCCAUUGUUGCCUGGUUUAAGUUAGGACCAGAUUUACAACAUGGAAUAUUUAAUAAAGACAAUUCUUUGAAAUUCCUGAUAAUGUUAUGAUGAGAAAAGCAGGGUGUUCUAAUGUUUAGUACUUUAGGCUCAGUAUCAGGAGAAACUCCUUUGUAUUUCUUGUUCUACCAUUAACAGUAUGACUUUUGGCAAAUCCCUUAACUUGUCUGUUCAGUUUCCUUACCUGCAAAAUGAAGGUUAUUGUAUCUGCCAUUUCCUACUCUCACAAAUGUAUCAGGGGUUUAACAACCAGAAAAAGGAAGAGCCAAAUAUUUCAUUGACAGAAGACAUUUAUGGUAUUAUUUACUUUGUAUUGAAAAGCACCUAUUUUAAGAAAGAAAUCUACCAAGAUGAAUUGUGCCAAUUAAACUGAUUAGCUGUUUCAGUUAUUAAAAUAGUAAUAUUCAAAAUUAAAUUAAUAUUUAAUAUUUAUAUUCAUCAGAUAUGUUUAAAUUAUAAAUCUGUAGUAAAUUUUGUUUUGGAUAUUUAUUAUAUAGCAUUGUAGCCAUUUGUAGAACAUGACUUUUUUGUUUUUAAAAGACCUUUUUUUUAAAGUUAAUUGAUUUUAUUAUAGAGGACCACAUGAAUGACCUAAUUAAUAAUCUUAUGAUAGUAUUUGUAGCAUACUUUACAUUCAAGAAAUUCCAAAAUAUUGAAUCUGGUUAAUUAUUAUUGUGGAAGUUUUAAACAAAAUGUGGGGGGUGGAAUAGUUAGUUCUGAGGUCCUUUCUAGCUGUAAAUCACUAAAAUUAGAAAACUGAAAUUUUUUUACAUUUUUAUUAGUUUUGCACUGAAAUAUUUUCUUCUGUUAACUGGCCUAAAAUACAAGAUAUCCUAAUAAUCUUACACUUGUAAGCUUUAAUAUUUUAAAAUUGUACUAAAACUGUUGAAAUACCCUGAAGAUGCUUUUACUUUAUGCUAUAUGCUUUACUGAGGGAUGUUUUGGGGUUGUGCUGUUUUUUUGUUUGUUUUUUGUUUUCAGUUGGAUUGCCUGAUCUACCUUCUUAAUAAUUUUGAAACUAUGUAUUUCCUGACUUAUUUUAUGUUUUUUCAUUUGUAUAUAUUUGUAUAUAUAGAAAUUGUUUCUUUUUGUCAUUAGUGUUUAUAAUGUUGUAAAACCAAUAUUUUAGUUCUUGUGUCCUAUAUUUGGAACCAGGUUGAACACCUUAAAAUGAGUAUUCAGAUAGCACAACCACUACAAGAACUCUAGAUUUAAGACUCAAGAAAUCUGAGCAGUAGUACAAUUCUUCCACUUACCAACUGUCCCUGCUGAGUAAGUUUCUUGGAGCAUAUACUUAUUUAUAAAAUGAUAAAUUAGGACUAGAUAAUCUCUAAGAUUUCUCUGGCUCUGAAAUUCUAUAAUUCUGUGAUUAGCUAUAUCUGAUGAGGUUCACUGCAGGGUAGAGAGUUGUGGGAACCCCUACUGGUCAGUGCAAGUCCUUCAUAAAAGAAUUUGCACAUUUUUGUUAGACUGUUGGAACUGAGAAGUCAGCCUUUGCUAGGGAGACUGACUUCCUUAGUGGCAAGGUAAAAUUCCUAGCAGAGAAAUCCCUACAGAGAGGUAAAGAGGGGUGUGGUCCUGUUACGGAAAUAAAUGAGAGAGAUAAAGAGGGGUUAAUGCUGAAAAGAGAAUGCCUUCUUAGCAGGCAGGGAGUCCUCGCAGGCAACAAUGUCAAGGAGAGAGAGAUUCCUUGGCAUGACAUGACCUGCUUUUGGCCCUCUGCAAAGGAGUGGCCCAAGUUGCCCUUUUUUAUAAUUUGAAACUUUGGCUAGGGGCUGGGGGCAGUUUGAGUUGAAAUCAAACUGAAACUUUCGAAUUGAAUAGAAAUUUUCCAAUUGAAUGAUUAGUCCUAGACUAAUCUCCAACUCAAUAGAGGUUGACAGAAAUCUAGAUCUCUAGCUCAGCUUAAGAAGGAAUGGUCCUGGACUCAACUAGUCCCCCCAAGAUAACACAAUGAAACCACUUUAUCUUGAUGCUGUGGGACGUGUCUUUCUUAGGGGAAAGCUUCUCUGAGGAUUCAAGGAGAAUUUCUCAAGCGUUCCCCCCAAAGUCAGAGGACAGCUUCAGGGUUCCCCCCAUCAUAUCUGCAUAGCAAAAAGCAAAAUGUGUUUAAAUCUCUAUUUAAUUUUUUUCAGACAUUGAUUAUGCCCAUAUCCAUCCUAGUUCCCAUUUUGAGAUCUAUAUCUUUGGUACUUGUCUUUUUGGUCGUCUGAAUAGCUUGUUCACCUUUGUAUCAGAAUUAUAGAAACAUCUUUUAUAGUCAGCUCCUUACUCGUUGCUUGUGCUUGUUCUACUAGUUAAGAUGGAUUACUCAGCAGUUAUGGUGAUUCAGAGAUUCUUUGUGUUUGCAUUUUCUUGCAGAUUCUGUAUCAUCCAAUCUUUCCAACUUAAUACUAUGCCUCCUCCAUUUCUUCUACCUCCUCUCAGCAGUAUACCCCCCUUGCUUAACUCUCCAUAUGAACUGCUUUCAGAUUUGAGUUGGUUGUAAAAAUAAAGAGCUAUUUGAUGAGAGAAAAAUUAUAUUAAGAGCUCCUAGAUUGGAAAUUGCUUUAGGCAUUGCCAAUUUUUCUUUUUUUUAGAAUUGAAUGAAGGAAACUUUAUGCAAACAUCCAUUUACAGUGGGUCUUCUUUAAUAAGGACUUUGGGUAAUAAGGACCUCAUAAGGUCACUAGCAUGUGAUUAAUAUUUCAGCAUGUUUGUUCUAUGUUAUAACUCUUUGCAAAACCAAGACAGUUUAUGCAAUCUAUAAAGUUAUUCUAUAUAUCAAAGAUCAAUUUCAGUCUAUAUUUCUAGCCUAUAGGAGAACAUUUUAUUAUUAUAAUUAUUUAAUAUUUGUAUAGUGAUUCUUCUCCAAGAGAGUGACAAACAUUUAGACAUGGUCUUUACUCAUCUCUUAACGUAAGAUUAAUAUUUAUACCCUUUAUAUACAAAUCUUUACUAUAGUAAAUCAUUUUUUUAGGACUGAUGAAUUCUAGCUGGGCUAGAACUUUAAAGUAUUAAUUUAUUGUGUAACCUUCAACUUCAAUUCUUCUGGAAUUAUUUAGAGAACAAAACUUUCAACUCAUGUCAAAGUUUUUUGUUGAUGUACAUAUGCUCAACUGUAUUAGUAUUCUUUGAUUGAUUUAUUAUGAAGAUAAUUGGCACUGCCAUUAAUUUAAACUACAGAGUUAAGGAUUUUUAUACUAUGGAUUAUUUAUUGACAAAUUUAAAGAAUUCAGUAGGUAUUUGUCUUAGUUGUGAAAAGCAUGUGUUUUUCCCCCUCAUGUCUUGAAAUUUGUUUUUCCUUUGUAUAGACAAAUACUGAAUGAGUUGUAUCAACUUGACAAUACAUUAUCAAAAAGGAGAACACAUAUUGUGGAGAUAAAAUGUAUUUUACUGCUUUUGGAGUUCUGCUGAAAAGCUUUAUAUGUGGAUUUUAUUUUUAACAAUGCACUAAGGGCUUACUUUUUAUUCUUUAUGUAUUGAGGUGUAUUUGUUCUAGC